GGGGUCGCAUGCCCAAGGCCGGCGACACUGCCUUGCAAGCAGCGUGUGCCGGGUUCGAUUCCCGGAGGCUCCA
Molecule: transfer RNA, 73 nt
Filed under: Saprospiraceae bacterium
Lineage: Bacteria; Pseudomonadati; Bacteroidota; Saprospiria; Saprospirales; Saprospiraceae
Description: tRNA-Ala
Source: RNAcentral